RNAcentral lists this ribosomal RNA (678 nucleotides) under Paenibacillus odorifer. RNAcentral describes it as "bacterial LSU rRNA". It matches the Rfam family "Bacterial large subunit ribosomal RNA", at positions 2240 to 2925 of the family's 2925-position model. The record is from RNAcentral. Lineage: Bacteria; Bacillati; Bacillota; Bacilli; Caryophanales; Paenibacillaceae.
CGGGUACGGGGACCGUGUCAGGCGGGCAGUUUGACUGGGGCGGUCGCCUCCUAAAGAGUAACGGAGGCGUUCCAAGGUUCCCUCAGAAUGGUUGGAAAUCAUUCGCAGAGUGCAAAGGCAUAAGGGAGCUUGACUGCGAGACCUACAAGUCGAGCAGGGACGAAAGUCGGACUUAGUGAUCCGGUGGUACCGCAUGGAAGGGCCAUCGCUCAACGGAUAAAAGCUACCCUGGGGAUAACAGGCUUAUCUCCCCCAAGAGUCCACAUCGACGGGGAGGUUUGGCACCUCGAUGUCGGCUCAUCGCAUCCUGGGGCUGAAGUAGGUCCCAAGGGUUGGGCUGUUCGCCCAUUAAAGCGGUACGCGAGCUGGGUUCAGAACGUCGUGAGACAGUUCGGUCCCUAUCUGUCGUGGGCGCAGGAAAUUUGAGAGGAGCUGUCCUUAGUACGAGAGGACCGGGAUGGACGUACCGCUGGUGCACCAGUUGUUCCGCCAGGAGCAUGGCUGGGUAGCUACGUACGGACGGGAUAAGCGCUGAAAGCAUCUAAGCGUGAAGCCCCCCUCAAGAUGAGAUUUCCCAAUUAGUAAGACCCCUUGAAGACGACGAGGUAGAUAGGUUGGAGGUGGAAGUGCAGCAAUGCAUGGAGCUGACCAAUACUAAUCGGUCGAGGGCUUAUCCUA